CCCCGGUUCUUGAAGAACUCUCCAGAAAAGAGGGUGAGGGUCCUUGACAUUCAGAAAACAGGGAGAAUUGGCAGUAGUAUGGAAGGAAAUGUCCUUGGGUCCUGAGGAGAGUGACCCUGCCCUUUUUCUGACUUGCUUCAGACACCCUGGUCCCCACAUCACACCCUGGCAUCAGACACUGUCAUGCAGAUCUGGCCACAUGAGCUCAGCCUCUCCCUUCUGCUCCCUGGGACUGGCUCUCAAGCAACCUACACAGAAGCCCCGUUUCACAAUCUGUUUUCACAAAACACCGUGGGCCCACCCAAGUGACUGAGAGACUGGGAGCCGAACAGAGUUAUCUGCAGCCUCAUGGGGCUUGGAAAAUAGACUUGGAAUUGAAGUCGCCACCAAAGAGUUUUCAGUGAACACCCCAGAGAAGUUAUGUAUAGGAGGACGGGCGAGCCAGAAAUAGAGCAAGCCUCACAGCCUGACCGCCAGCGGCAAACCAGCUCAAUCCCAGGCUGGAUUAGGAUGACCUUCUGCUUCUCUGCCUUCUGGAAAGCAAAAGAUAAAUCCUCUGUGAUGAAAGGUAACAUCAGUCAGAGC
Molecule: long non-coding RNA, 585 nt
Filed under: Fukomys damarensis (Damara mole-rat)
Lineage: Eukaryota; Metazoa; Chordata; Mammalia; Rodentia; Bathyergidae
Description: lncRNA (ENSFDAG00000031248.1)
Source: RNAcentral